Mustela lutreola (European mink) is the source of this 3132-nucleotide long non-coding RNA. RefSeq lists it as uncharacterized. Lineage: Eukaryota; Metazoa; Chordata; Mammalia; Carnivora; Mustelidae. The transcript is spliced from 5 exons. The record is from RefSeq and is a predicted model, not a curated record.
GGAACCAGCAGCUUUGGACCUUAUUGAUUGUCUGCAGUUACCACCAGAACAAAAGAACAUACAUAGAUUCUGCCUAGGAGAAAAGAACAAUGCUCUUCUUUAUAAAUCAGCAAUGUCUUCAUCAUGACCCACCCCCAAAAAUACUAUUUUCAGAAACUGUACUCAAAAGUGAUUACUGAGUUGCACUGAAUAGCAUUUGUAUGAUAUUAAAACAACCCUAUAAAAACAGUGUAAGAUAACUGUGUAAGAAGCAAAGUUAAAAGACAGGUGUUUUUAAAAUGCUUCUUUGGAUGUAUUUUAAGGUGGCUAGUCUAAGAGAAUAUACCUCUUCAGUUAAUACUGAAGAGAGUGGCUUAUAUUUAUAACUUUGGUCAUUUGCAUAGAAAUAUAUACAUUAGCUUCUUAAAUAAGUCCUAUAUGUCUCCAUGUAACUGUGGCUCAGAAUAUGUAAUGUGUAGCUAUAAUCGUGCUCGAGGCCUAGAAAUAAAUCAUUUACAAUCUUCUUUACUGACCCUAUUAGAUUUUACUACUGAUUUAAGAAGAAUGUUACUUUAUACUUUGUAUUUAUUGCCAGAGUUUUCCUUAGUCUUUUAACCAGACAAAAUACUCUGUAUGUCCUAUUAUAACAAGACAUUCUCUUGUCAUAAGAGUUAUCAAUAAUUAGCAAAAAUAUGGUGCCUUUUAGUCUUUAUAUUUUACUUUGUAUGUAUCAUGGACCUAUGGGAGAUAAAUCAGUAAAUACCACCUCUAAAGUCAGACUGCUCUGGUUCAUCUGUCAACGGACCCUGAGCUGCAUAGUUUGAGUUUGAUGAGAAUUUUAGUUUUAUAAACUACUCCAACUAUAAGUAAUGUGUCAUAUUUGAACACUGUUAGACAUUGCCACAUCAAAUAUUGAUUUCUUAUAAGUAGAAUCAAUAUAUUAAAUCUAUUUACAAAUUUUACAAUAAUAUUGCAGAUACCAAGAUACACAAUGGAGAUGAGAGACUGCUCAUAAUAGAAGAUACAAAAUGAUUUCAUUCUUUUAACUCUAAUGCUUUACAUGGGUGCUAUAAAUUCUAUGUACCUUCUGCAUUGUUAAAAUAAAUUUAUGAAUGUACUUUAGAACACUGUAUGGAGUCGUUGUUCACCUUUUCAUUGGAUUUGUUACAAUUACUCAUGUUUGGACUAUCAUACGCUACAAAUCACCCAUGAGUUAUAUUUCCUAAAAAAUUUGAUACUGCCAUAUCGUAAACAUGUUCUUCCUCUAUACAAGCCACGUAAAAUAUGUUAAAGCAUGUAUCCACAUUGUGCCUAUUCAGAUUCCUUAUAUCACCUAUUUUAUUUAUGGAGAAUCUCUGAAAUUUUAAGUGCAUGUAUGUGUGUGUAUGAACAUUCGUCUUAAAACUCCAACUGAAAGGAGGUAAUAUAAACAGUAGACUUUUGAUAGUGUUUAUCUUUUACUUCUUUGAACCACAUUUUCAUUAUCUUUAAACACUUCUAAAAGCCCAAGUUUCUCAAUACAAAGAACUCUAUAUGUGUGUGUAUCUACAAGUGCAAGAAACCUGAUUAUAUUUAAUAGCAAUGUUUAUCCAACAGAUCAGAAACUAUCUCGUAUAUAAAACAAUAUCACACACAGGUAUAUAGCUACAGACACCUGAUUUAUCAUAAUCAUAAAUAAUAUGUAAAUGAUGUUUCAUAAAUUUAGUUCUAAAAUCAUGUAAGGGAUGGUUGUUUAUUGUUUAUAGUGAUAUCAGAUAUAAUCUAUUUCAAAUGCAGUAUUUUUUGUGUUAUUAUAUCUAUGAAUUAGACUAUAUGUUAACUUCUUUUUCGUAGAGGAAAGGUACCAAAGCUGAAUUUAGAAUGCAGUGAUGUUUAUUUUUUACUAAUCAUCAUGCAUUCUUUGAACCCUCCCUGUGUAACCUUCCUGCAUAUUAACUAUCUUUUCUAAGACUAUCAUUGAUAAAGCUUUUCUCUUACUCCUUAAAGGUGAGUAGAGAUUUAAGUGGGUGACUUUGUUUAUAUAAACUACUUUAUGCUGUAUAUGGAUAGAUGGAUGCCACUUUUUUCUGCAUUUCUGUCUAAGCUGUCACAGAAUAAUAUUAUUUGGAGCUAUAAAAUAUGAUUUGGAAAAUCAGAUCAUACUAAGCUUAAAAUAAAAGGAGAGGUCUACGACAAAGAGCGAGAAAAUGAUGUGUGUUGCAUACAAAAAAAGCAGUGAUAUUAACAAUUCGAUGGCUUCCUGGUUGGGAGACCAGCCUGAGCCAGACGCAUAUAUUAAGAGCUGUCUGCUGCCGAUGUGAGCUUGCUCAAUGCGGUGGAAAUGAGGAAUCACCUCCUCUCUGACACCAGCUUAUUUUCACAUUUUAAUUUGGAAAUAGCAAAUCACUGUUUUACAUAAACACACUAACUCCCGCUCGGUUCUUUCUCCUUUGCUUGUUAAUUUACUAUGAACUUCAAGUUCCUUUUUUUUUUUUUUUUACAAUCCUCACUCACUUUAAACUUACCAGCUAAAAUCGAUCAAAGACCAAUGAAGUAUUAGUUGUUUCUCUCUCUUUUGUACUGCUCUGUGAAUAUUGUGAUAUUCGUGCAUUUAACUUUUAAUCUUUGUAAGGAACACAUCAGUUUUCCAAAAUGGUGUUUUUGUUUGUUUGUUUGUUUGUCUUUAAAAUCUUUUAGGACCCAUCAAGGAAGCCACUUCUGGAAUUUUGCCAUAUCUAAAUAUGAUUAUUUUUCAUUUCAGGGUUCAUGGGAUCAAUAUUUUCUUAGUAUAAAAGUCUGUAACACUUUAGUGUUCCAGUGAAGCUGAAGGAGAGCUAUAUACAGAUAUUCUUAAGCAUUAGGCUAUAUUAAUAAUACCUAGAAGAGAUGUGUCUGACGAUUUGUGAGCACCAAGGGACUAUUCUGUGGAAUCAUCUUUCCUUGCCUUUGAAUUAGCUUUCCCUAGGCCAUGAGUCAACCUCAAUCUUUUGUACAUCCAAAUUGAAUUCCUGAGGACGGAUGACGUACCAGCCAUUAUGCAGGAACAGAAACACAACUGUGAAUGAACAUAAAGUUUCUUCUGAUCCUAAGGUUAAAGAACCCACAAAAGUUUUCUUGAGCAUGGAUUACCUACAGUGAUCGUGGCUUCUUGAUUCCCAGAUUAUAUCCCAAUGG